Molecule: ribosomal RNA, 254 nt
Filed under: uncultured bacterium
Lineage: Bacteria
Description: partial 16S ribosomal RNA
Rfam family: Bacterial small subunit ribosomal RNA
Source: RNAcentral
GACGAACCGUACGAACGUUAUUCGGAAUUACUGGGCUUAAAGGGUGCGUAGGCGGCGCGGAAAGUAGGGUGUGAAAUCCCUCGGCUCAACCGAGGAACUGCGCUCUAAACUACCGUGCUCGAGGGAGGUAGAGGUGAGCGGAACUGAGGGUGGAGCGGUGAAAUGCGUUGAUAUCCUCAGGAACACCGGUGGCGAAGGCGGCAUCCUGGACCGACACUGACGCUGAGGAGCGAAAGCCAGGGGAGCAAAGCGGG